UCCUAUUUCACGCUUAGAUUGAAGAAUGAAAACAGGACAAAAACGGUUUUCGGGGAUUGGCUCCCCCUCGCGCUGUGGCAGCCCUCUGUACCGGCCAUUGGAUGACGGGUGGAGCCCUACCCAUAAGGGCCAUGAGGACCUGACGUCAUCCCCACCUUCCUCCGGUUUGUCACCGGCAGUCUAAUUAAAGUGCCCUUUCCUAGCAACAAAUGACAAGGGUGGCGCUCGUUGCGGGACUUAACCCACCAUCUCACGACACGAGCUGACGACGGCCAUGCAGCACCUGUGUUCAAGUUCUCUUUAGAGCAAUUCCACAUCUCUGCGGAAUUCUUGACAUGUCAAGGGUAGGUAAGGUUUUUCGCGUGGCAUCAAAUUAAACAAAAUCAUCCACCGCUGGGGCGGGGCCCCGUCAAUUCCUUUGAGUUUCAACCUUGAGGCCGUACUCCCCAGG
This 451-nucleotide ribosomal RNA is filed under the name uncultured bacterium. Its description in RNAcentral is "partial 16S ribosomal RNA". The record is from RNAcentral.